Lemur catta (Ring-tailed lemur) is the source of this 1747-nucleotide long non-coding RNA. RefSeq lists it as uncharacterized. The record is from RefSeq and is a predicted model, not a curated record. The transcript has 5 exons. Lineage: Eukaryota; Metazoa; Chordata; Mammalia; Primates; Lemuridae.
CAAGGGAAGGUGCACAGGGAGUAGGGGACAGCAGGUCUCGCCAUGGCCAGCACGGUGACUCCUCCCCAGUGACCUUUGACCUCACAAUGCCUCUGUCUCCAGCCCUGCGACGCAGCUGGAUUGUGAGAUGGAAGGAUACAGAGCGGCCAGCCUGUCCUGCCCUGUGAGCUGGGUGAGCCGGCACCGGUGAGAAUGGACGUGAAUGGCAGCAGUCACUGGUCAGCAGACUCUUGGGGAAAGUCUGCUGUUUGACAUCUUAUCAGUAAGAACAGAUCGUCUCUUGCCUGGAGGAUCUACGUCAUUUUGACAAAGAGAAGCUGCUUCAAUUUCCAACCCAGCGGAACCCCAGUGCCAGAGGGGAGGCGGCAAGCCGGACAGGAGGCGCUCGAGUGGUCUUCCCGGAAGUGCGCGUCCCCCCAGAUUUCCCCAGCACCCCGACGCGGGGCUGCGAACCCACCUGCGCUAGUGCGGCUGCGGCCAUGAUCCGUGCGACGGGACUGUCGCCGAGCGCUGGCGAGGAUAAGCGGCCCGAGGUAAGAAAGGGGAAAGGCGAGCAGCACGAAGCUCCGUUUAUCACGAUGCCUUUGUGAAAAGGAAGAGCACACUAUGAAUGUCAGCGGCGCAGACGUCACGGAAAUGCGCAGGAAAAGGAUGGGACUUUGGGAAAGGGCUUCUGAAUUGGAUAGUAGGUAGGGACGAAGGGGAACUUCGCUUUGCAGCCUGGAUACUCCUCAACCCUCCGGUCAUCAGUGAGCCUCAGAGCAGGGUUUCCCGGUCACUCCCCUGCAUGUGUGUCUCCUUCAGGAUCUCUCUGACCUCAGCAAUUCAGACCUGCGGCAGUGUCCCCUGUAUUGUGCUGCCCGGUCACUGUGUCCCCCAAACUCCUGCAUCCGGGUUCUUUUGACACCAAAAUCCGGUCCCUCGACCACCGUGCCUCCGUAAUUCUACCCUGGCACACGCUGUCUCCAAAUUGUAUCCCCAACAUGUCCCCAAAUCGUGUCCCCGGCUCACCGUGCCCCUCACCCCUAACAGCCACAGGCCCGAGCACCCAAAUCUCGAACCCUCCCCCUCAGGGUGUGGCCCGGGUUUUCCUCUCCCCUCCUCAGUCCUCCUCCCCCGCCACUUGCCCGGGAUGUAGGGGCGGUGCCCAGACCUCCCGCCGCGGCCAAUCAGCGAUUGCCGCACACGCCCCCCGCCGCAGCCAAUCCGCAGCAGCUUUGCAGCCCCGCCCUCACCUGGGGGUGCGUAACCAGGACUCGGCCCAGCGCCCCACCAGGGGGAAUACAGGAUCUGCUCCUCCUUAGGCGCGGAGUCCCCAGUGCCCUCCUCCCCCAAACCCAGGAGUCUCGGCCCCGGUCUUCUCCCUCUGACCCAGAUGUCUCGGCCCCCAGCUUCCUCUUCCCUCUGGAAUUUGUGGCAGCUACCUUCCGGCUCCACAGGCAAGGUCAAAACUCCGUUUCCCUAAGGGCCACGAAUAAAGGGGAGGCCCUUUCGCUUCUUCUCCAUUGUCUCCUAAUUAGCGGUUAAUUUACUCUCCCCUGCGGGCCUUUUAAUUAGCGCACAGGUGAAGCCAAACUUCUCUACAUUUCCCAGGAUCCCCUGGCGACAGGCGACAGGCACUAGCAACAUCAGGUACCUGCUUGGCCUGUAGGGGAGCUGUGGUGCCUCAAGGAGGCAACAGGUGAUGGGGCCGUCGCCGAAGGACUCGUACAAAGGGCGGGAAAUAAAUAUAACGAUGUUCUUAGGG